Molecule: non-coding RNA, 1874 nt
Organism: Taeniopygia guttata (zebra finch)
Lineage: Eukaryota; Metazoa; Chordata; Aves; Passeriformes; Estrildidae
Source: RefSeq, a predicted model, not a curated record
AAAUGACUUAAAAUUCUUUGAAGAAAUGCAGUACUACGGGUAAAGUAUUGUCUGUCUGACUUGCAGUAUAUGAUGUCUUCAUCUUAAGGAAUUGUGACUCCUUGGGGUGUGAACAGAGGUACUGAAUAUGCUGGAGUAAACCGGGGGAACAGACUCUAGAGGCAAAGGGUAUAUAUGCAUACUCCAAGCCACUGGAUAAGCAUUCACUAAUGCAUGUAUAAAAGUUUGAAAGGACAGUUGGAUCUGAAAACCCUUUUUCCAGAAAGGACAAAAAGUCAAAAUACCCAAUGCCUAUCAGAUCAAGAACUUAUCCAAGAUUAAUUGGUGGGGAGUUUCAAAAAGAUCCUUAUGAACAUCUGUGAAAGACACAAAGUGCUUUCUGGAAGGCAGAGUUGUUCCUCCAUCCCUGUGGAGCUGGUGGAAGGACAGCCCAGAGACUGCAGAUGAAAAUCCUGGCACCAAGCAGUAAAAGCCUGCUGAGACGAACAGUGAACCAGCCGCCAAACCCCAGCAGUGAUGGAGAAAACUUUCUGCAGACUACAGAAGACUCUGCCAGGUGUGCUGCUACUAGGGAAGCCACUGGGUUGACUGGACCAAAGCCUGGAAGCACGGUUUGAUCUUUGUUUGAAAAUCCACCAAAAUAAAAUGUCAAGACACAUCUAUUGCAGAUCUGUGCUUACUUAGAUGUUGUCACCAUAUUGAAGAACUAUUACUAAUUAAAGCAUUAGCAGAGCAAAUCACAAAUCAAAGCUGGGAUUUAAGUUUGUCUUUUAAGCAACUCACUAAUGUGAGCUAGCUGAGUGAACUAAAGUUUCUUCAAGGCUGAAGAUAUGUAGCAACAGAAAGAGCAGCAGGGCUACUGACAGUGGAAAACAAAGGAUGGGGAUAGUAAAAUGCAGAACAAUGUUUGCAAGCUGAAUUGGCUAGGUGCAAAUCUAUGAGGAACUGGGAGGAGGACAGGAAGUGACCUUCUAAGUUAGAAAUGUGUGAGUAUAGAACAAUUUCUGUGCCUUUGAGUGAAAUGUCCAGCCUCUGGGUUUCUGCAAUACAGAUAAAACUGGACUGAAGAUUACACCAGCCCACAAUCAAGCUGCUUAUGUAGGUCCCCUGGUCAUGUUCAGCAGCAACCUGGUCCUACACUAAGAUCCAAUUUUGUUACAACUUCCAGCCUGAUAUAUUUAGUUGAAAAUAAACUAAAAAAGAAUUGCUUAGAUGAAGUUCAAAAUGCUUUUCCUUAUAGAAGAAAAUCUCAGCUGCACCAACUAAUAAAGCCAGGUGGAAGAUAUAACCUAUUUGGGCAUCUCAGUGUUAACUUUCUCCCUUGACCCAUUUCAGAAACAUUGAACUAUUUACUGUCUCUGAAACAUCUGGACUUUCUACUUGUUUCAUAAGUCUCUAACAAAAAAUAUCUACACAUCAUCCAUCAAUCCACAGCCACAUUCUUUUCUCACCCUAUCAUGAUUAGAUUCUUUGGGAGGUUUUAGGGUUUUUUUUUUUCCUAAUGCUUUUCUCCCAGUUUUUCUUGGACAUCCUUGUAGUAAUUAUUAAUAGGCUCGAUAUAUACUCACUUUGAGCCAUCAGAAACUAAACUAGUUUGUUAUAUAACGAAGAGAAAUGGGGACUUUUGGGGACCUGGCCUCUUUUCUUAGUCACAACUGUCCCAUUCUGGCAAAACUGAGACGUAUCUCGAUCACUAUUUGGAGAAAGUCCACCUCCUGUUAAGAUGUCAAGAGCAGUGGUACAGUGUUUUGUCCAAGAUAGUUUUUUGGUACGAACAUCCAGGUCAGUGCUCUAAGUGAAUGGAAACACCUAAAUCACCCCUCUGUAAAGAAGGACAGAGGUGCUUGCUCCAUAAUAAACUGUUUGUGGAAGAA